RNAcentral lists this long non-coding RNA (402 nucleotides) under Eucalyptus grandis. Its description in RNAcentral is "long non-coding RNA (EGRA_LNC000253)". Lineage: Eukaryota; Viridiplantae; Streptophyta; Magnoliopsida; Myrtales; Myrtaceae. The record is from RNAcentral.
UCAUGAUUUGGAAAGAUGGAGGAGAUUGUCCAAUGUCUUAUCUUAUGGAUAUCCUCAUAUCAUUUCCAAUCCACUUUUGAUGGGAGAGAUUAAUCAUUUGUUGUCAAGCUUAGAUCCCCUAAUAAACUCUGUGUCAUGUCUUGCUUUUCAGCACAUGUAUAGGGAUCUAUCCCUUUCCAUCAACUCCGCUGUUGAGGUAUAUCAGGACACUGUGUUUUAGCUAUGCCUUCACAUCUCCAAAGCUCUUAGUUCCAUAUCUUUCCGUCGCCACGACUUCUCAUCUUUAGAUGAAUAAUUUCCUUAUUGUAUUUGUAGUUCCCAAGCAAGUGUGACAAUGGCGGACUUUGACUUCAUGCGAUGCUAAAUAGAGAAAGGACAGCUGUUGAUUAGCACAAAACAUUG